RNAcentral lists this ribosomal RNA (532 nucleotides) under Anolis omiltemanus. RNAcentral's name for it is "partial 16S ribosomal RNA". It matches the Rfam family "Bacterial large subunit ribosomal RNA", at positions 1811 to 2604 of the family's 2925-position model. Lineage: Eukaryota; Metazoa; Chordata; Lepidosauria; Squamata; Anolidae. The record is from RNAcentral.
AAACAUAGCCUUUAGCAAACCAAGUAUUAAAGGUAACGCCUGCCCAGUGAAACUUUAACGGCCGCGGUAUCCUAACCGUGCAAAGGUAGCGUAAUCACUUGUCUUAUAAAUAAAGACCCGUAUGAACGGCUAAAUGAGUAUUUUACUGUCUCCUUUAACCAGUCAGUGAAACUGAUCUUUCAGUACAAAAGCUGAAAUAUUGACAUAAGACGAGAAGACCCUGUGGAGCUUUAAAUUUUCACCAAAACAUUCUCACAGAACAUGUUUAUGCUAAAAAAUUUUAAGUUGGGGCGACUUUGGAGUACAACAAAACCUCCAAUAAUAAGCACUGCUAAAAAGGCCCACUAGCCAAACAAUAAAGACCCAGUAUCACUGAUCAACGAACUAAGUUACCCCAGGGAUAACAGCGCCAUCUUCUUCAAGAGUUCAUAUCGACAAGAAGGUUUACGACCUCGAUGUUGGAUCAGGACACCCAAAUGGUGCAGCCGCUAUUAAAGGUUCGUUUGUUCAACGAUUAAUAGUCCUACGUGAU